AUUGAACGCUGGCGGCAUGCCUUACACAUGCAAGUCGAACGGCAGCACGGGAGCUUGCUCCUGGUGGCGAGUGGCGAACGGGUGAGUAAUACAUCGGAACGUACCCAGUAGUGGGGGAUAACGCACCGAAAGGUGCGCUAAUACCGCAUACGACCUACGGGUGAAAGCGGGGGACCGUAAGGCCUCGCGCUAUUGGAGCGGCCGAUGUCUGAUUAGCUAGUUGGCGGGGUAAAAGCCCACCAAGGCGACGAUCAGUAGCUGGUCUGAGAGGACGAGCAGCCACACUGGGACUGAGACACGGCCCAGACUCCUACGGGAGGUAGCAGUGGGGAAUUUUGGACAAUGGGGGCAACCCUGAUCCAGCAAUGCCGCGUGUGCGAAGAAGGCCUUCGGGUUGUAAAGCACUUUUGUCAGGGAAGAAAUCUUUCAGGCUAAUACCCUUGGAAGGAUGACGGUACCUGAAGAAUAAGCACCGGCUAACUACGUGCCAGCAGCCGCAGUAA
RNAcentral lists this ribosomal RNA (503 nucleotides) under uncultured bacterium. RNAcentral's name for it is "partial 16S ribosomal RNA". It matches the Rfam family "Bacterial small subunit ribosomal RNA", at positions 30 to 523 of the family's 1533-position model. The record is from RNAcentral.